Varroa destructor (honeybee mite) is the source of this 300-nucleotide RNA transcript. RefSeq lists it as uncharacterized. The record is from RefSeq and is a predicted model, not a curated record. NCBI's taxonomy places the organism in Eukaryota, Metazoa, Arthropoda, Arachnida, Mesostigmata, Varroidae.
UACUUAUACUGCGUUGGCAUACCACGUUUGAAACAUAGGAGAAUUCGUUGCUUUAGGUUCGUAUGGGUUUACGAGUCAAAAAACGUUGACAUGACUGAAUGGAAUCAUCGUUCGAACAGAUGAAACUUAAGGAAUGUAUGAUGUCACUGAAGCUGAAAUAUUCGUCAGGCUCUGAAGUUGGUGACUUUAUCCCAAUUUCUCUUCAAAGAUACGGUUGCCUGUUGUGCUGCGACUGCCCUCGAGCCUGAUGGUCCUGGUUGUGUGUUAUAUCAUACGGAUGCUGAGUUCCGCCCGACUGAU